This 438-nucleotide ribosomal RNA is filed under the name uncultured bacterium. RNAcentral describes it as "bacterial SSU rRNA". It matches the Rfam family "Bacterial small subunit ribosomal RNA", at positions 29 to 514 of the family's 1533-position model. The record is from RNAcentral.
AACGAACGCUGGCGGCAUGCCUAACACAUGCAAGUCGAACGAGACCUUCGGGUCUAGUGGCGCACGGGUGCGUAACGCGUGGGAACCUGCCUUUAGGUUCGGAAUAACUCAGAGAAAUUUGAGCUAAUACCGGAUAAUGUCUUCGGACCAAAGAUUUAUCGCCUUUAGAUGGGCCCGCGUAAGAUUAGCUAGUUGGUGGGGUAAAGCCUACCAAGGCGACGAUCUUUAGCUGGUCUGAGAGGAUGAUCAGCCACACUGGGACUGAGACACGGCCCAGACUCCUACGGGAGGCAGCAGUGGGGAAUAUUGGACAAUGGGCGAAAGCCUGAUCCAGCAAUGCCGCGUGAGUGAUGAAGGCCUUAGGGUUGUAAAGCUCUUUUACCCGAGAUGAUAAUGACAGUAUCGGAGAAUAAGCUCCGGCUAACUCCGUGCCAGCAG